GUGUCAGCCGCCGCGGUAAGACGAACCGUGCGAACGUUGUUCGGAUUCACUGGGCUUAAAGGGCGCGUAGGCGGACGGUCAAGUCAGGGGUGAAAUCUUUCAGCUCAACUGGAAAAGUGCCUCUGAUACUGAUCGUCUCGAGGGAGGUAGGGGCAUGUGGAACUUCCGGUGGAGCGGUGAAAUGCGUUGAUAUCGGAAGGAACGCCGGUGGCGAAAGCUGCGUGCUGGCCCAUAACUGACGCUGAGGCGCGAAAGCUAGGGGAGCAAACAGGAUUAGAUACCCCAGUAGUCC
This 292-nucleotide ribosomal RNA is filed under the name uncultured bacterium. RNAcentral's name for it is "partial 16S ribosomal RNA". It matches the Rfam family "Bacterial small subunit ribosomal RNA", at positions 505 to 796 of the family's 1533-position model. The record is from RNAcentral.